This 443-nucleotide ribosomal RNA is filed under the name uncultured prokaryote. RNAcentral's name for it is "partial 16S ribosomal RNA". The record is from RNAcentral.
CCCUAUGGGGUGCACCAGGGAAAAACUGAGUGUCGUGGCAACUCUUUUCCAGUGGAGCUUUCCAUAUCCCGUAUCUCCCAUUACAGUCCCCUUCAAAGGAUUAAGCCCGACCCGUUCAGCAAGAAAGAAAUGUAUCGGAACAGCUCGGCAAUGGUCAUGCCAAUGGAAAAAAAUGAGCGGUCACCACUCAUAGUAUUUCACUAACUGAUUAAACACAAAAGGAUUAUACCAGGUGCCUCACUCUGCCCAGCCAUGCAAGCUAUAGGAAAGCCUGUCGACGCUUUUUACAGAUUGUAAAAAUAGCACGAGUACGAAGGAAAAAUAUCCGUCAUGAGAGCUCUCCGCAGGGCGAAGCGCCUCACGGCACAGGAGCUUGUCUGCGCGAUCCCGCAGCUUGCAGCCCCGCGGCCCCAAGCCCCUCCUGAAUGAAUUGGCGGGAGGGC